This 403-nucleotide ribosomal RNA is filed under the name Fusobacteriota bacterium. Its description in RNAcentral is "Fusobacteria bacterium partial 16S ribosomal RNA". It matches the Rfam family "Bacterial small subunit ribosomal RNA", at positions 355 to 776 of the family's 1533-position model. The record is from RNAcentral. Lineage: Bacteria; Fusobacteriati; Fusobacteriota.
UGGGGAAUAUUGCACAAUGGAGGGAACUCUGAUGCAGCGACGCCGCGUGAACGAAGAAGGCUUUCGAUUCGUAAAGUUCUUUUAUAUUGGAAGAUAAUGACGGUACCAUAAGAAAAAGCCCCGGCUAACUACGUGCCAGCAGCCGCGGUAAUACGUAGGGGGCUAGCGUUGUCCGGAAUCACUGGGCGUAAAGGGUUCGCAGGCGGAAAUGCAAGUCAGGUGUAAAAGGCAGUAGCUUAACUACUGUAAGCAUUUGAAACUGCAUAUCUUGAGAAGAGUAGAGGUAAGUGGAAUUUUUAGUGUAGCGGUGAAAUGCGUAGAUAUUAAAAAGAAUACCGGUGGCGAAGGCGACUUACUGGGCUCAUUCUGACGCUGAGGAACGAAAGCGUGGGUAGCAAACAGG